UACGUAGGUGGCAAGCGUUAUCCGGGUUUAUUGGGCGUAAAGGGAACGCAGGCGGUCUUUUAAGUCUGAUGUGAAAGCCUUCGGCUUAACCGGAGUAGUGCAUUGGAAACUGGGAGACUUGAGUGCAGAAGAGGAGAGUGGAACUCCAUGUGUAGCGGUGAAAUGCGUAGAUAUAUGGAAGAACACCGGUGGCGAAAGCGGCUCUCUGGCCUGUAACUGACACUGAGGCUCGAAAGCGUGGGGAGCAAACAGG
This 253-nucleotide ribosomal RNA is filed under the name uncultured bacterium. Its description in RNAcentral is "partial 16S ribosomal RNA". It matches the Rfam family "Bacterial small subunit ribosomal RNA", at positions 524 to 776 of the family's 1533-position model. The record is from RNAcentral.